AUUGAACGCUGGCGGCAUGCCUUACACAUGCAAGUCGAACGGUAACGGGCCUUCGGGUGCCGACGAGUGGCGAACGGGUGAGUAAUACAUCGGAACGUGCCCGAUCGUGGGGGAUAACGAGGCGAAAGCUUUGCUAAUACCGCAUACGAUCUACGGAUGAAAGCAGGGGACCGCAAGGCCUUGCGCGGGUGGAGCGGCCGAUGGCAGAUUAGGUAGUUGGUGGGAUAAAAGCUUACCAAGCCGACGAUCUGUAGCUGGUCUGAGAGGAUGAUCAGCCACACUGGGACUGAGACACGGCCCAGACUCCGACGGGAGGCAGCAGUGGGGAAUUUUGGACAAUGGGCGCAAGCCUGAUCCAGCCAUGCCGCGUGCAGGAUGAAGGCCUUCGGGUGGUAAACUGCUUUUGUACGGAACGAAAAGCCUUCUUUUAAUACAAGAGGGUCAUGACGGUACCGUAAGAAUAAGCACCGGCUAACUACGU
Molecule: ribosomal RNA, 481 nt
Filed under: uncultured bacterium
Lineage: Bacteria
Description: partial 16S ribosomal RNA
Rfam family: Bacterial small subunit ribosomal RNA
Source: RNAcentral